GGGCGGGGGUAGGGCUGGACUUCCACAUUGGUGAUCCGUUCCUGGUUCAGGGAUCACACGUUGGGUAGCAAGAGCUCGAGGCAGGUGGGAGAGAAGGACGCAUCCUCAACUGAAGCUAAGAGGGGCUCCAUACCCAAGCACUUAGAGCUAAUAGUGAACUCCCCACUCUGCUCUCUUCCCUAAGCCCGGUCUACCAGCUGCCCUUGUGGUCACCUUUCCUGUCCUAUGACAGACGUUUCCUUCCCUUCCAGAGCUGCCAAUGCUUUUUCAGUUACAAGAAGGGCAAAGCAAGGAGAAAGCAAGUCUGGCUCACUCAUUGGAAGGAUACUCGGCAGUUAACAGAAUUUGAAGAGCUGACCCGCCGGUCUUGGGAGAGAUGGACACCAAGGCGGUUCAGGGGCCUGAGCAGCCAGAGCAGCAGGCCCUUCCCGGCACAUCCCAUUAGAUGCCUGAAUUCUGUCUCCUCAAGGUACAAGUUUGGGCCAGCAUCAUAACUGUUACGGAAUUUGAGACUAUGAGAACAAUACGGAACUUGAAGGCAGGGGGAACUAUGAAAGCACUUAAUUAUAUUCACUAAAAUAUAAUGAUGGCGACAGAACAAGGAAAGACACACCAAGGAUGUUUUAUAUCUCUUAAAUGAGAAAUGGAAUGCGCAGCCGCCCCUGAGAGCUGGAACUGACGUUCUCAGAUUGCCAACAUGACAUCUGGACAGAAAUUCACAUUUAUUAGGAUAUCGUGUGGGGAUAACUCAAGCAGUCAGAAAGAGGUUCCUCUCUCUCUCUCUCUCUCUCUCUCUCUUUUUU
Long non-coding RNA from Lontra canadensis (Northern American river otter), 803 nucleotides. RefSeq lists it as uncharacterized. The record is from RefSeq and is a predicted model, not a curated record. The transcript has 3 exons. NCBI's taxonomy places the organism in Eukaryota, Metazoa, Chordata, Mammalia, Carnivora, Mustelidae.